Molecule: ribosomal RNA, 469 nt
Filed under: uncultured bacterium
Lineage: Bacteria
Description: partial 16S ribosomal RNA
Rfam family: Bacterial small subunit ribosomal RNA
Source: RNAcentral
GACGAACGCUGGCGGCGUGCUUAACACAUGCAAGUCGAACGGAAAGGCCCUGCUUGCAGGGUGCUCGAGUGGCGAACGGGUGAGUAACACGUGGGUGAUCUGCCCCUUACUUUGGGAUAAGCCUGGGAAACUGGGUCUAAUACUGGAUGGGACCAUGCUGUAGGUGGUGUGGUGGAAAGAUUAGUUUCGGUAAGGGAUGAGCUCGCGGCCUAUCAGCUUGUUGGUGGGGUAAUGGCCUACCAAGGCGUCGACGGGUAGCCGGCCUGAGAGGGUGGACGGCCACAUUGGGACUGAGAUACGGCCCAGACUCCUACGGGAGGCAGCAGUGGGGAAUAUUGCACAAUGGGCGCAAGCCUGAUGCAGCGACGCCGCGUGGGGGAUGACGGCCUUCGGGUUGUAAACUCCUUUCAGCCAUGACGAAGCCCUUGUGGUGACGGUAGUGGUAGAAGAAGCACCGGCUAACUACGUG